CAGGACGCUCACUUGGCAGAGUUCUAGAUAAGCAGCAGCAUCUUGGAAAAGCUGGCUGUCUUUGGCUGUCAGAUUUAUCAUCUUUGCUAAGUUGGCUGUCAGUAUGGGUAGCUGUUGUUAAUGGGUGACCUGCAGGAGAAUAACAAAGAAGGCCAUCUCACUGCCAGGACCUUCUGUGCCCUCCGACUAUCCAGGAUUCGGAAGAGGAGGAGGCAACUCCUCUCUGGUAAAGGAAGCAAAUAAGAAAACCUCACUGCCAGGACCCCACAUAGGACUUUCCGUACCCUCCAAGACUCAGGGAGAAGAACUAAAGUAGGCAAGCUUAAUCCCAGGACCCCACGCAGGAGCUUUCAUCCCCUCUGACACUCCGGGAGAAUCACCAAAGGAGAAAACUUCAGUGCCAGGGCCCCAUUCAGGACUUUUCAUCCCCUUCAACACUCUUGGAGAAGAACCAAUGAAGAAAACCUCAGUACUAGGACCCCACCCAGGGCCUUCUGUUCUCUCCGACACUGCAAGUCUGAGAAAAGCAGCACCCCAAGGCCAAAGAGACCUCCACAGCUGCCAAGAAUGCCUGAAGAACCUCAAGGCCCUGAGGGGAUAGCUGAGGAGACUGAGAAGCAGGCUGGCCAAGGUUGUUGCCACUAUGGGGAUCAUGGAUCCUCCAAAGGAGCUGGAUGCCGAGGAAGAAGAAGAGGAAGUCCAAUAAAAACAGACACUGCUGUGUAACAAAUAAUAGACACAGAAAAUAAAUGGCAGAUAGUGAGAUAGGUGGAUAAUACAUAAGAAAUAAUAAUUUUUAAAAGGACGUCACGUCAGAUACAGAAAUAAAUAGCAAUGAAACAUGCAUAUAUUUUUUAAAUUAAACCUUUGUUUUUUUAUUUUAAAGAAAACAAAGUUGUCUUGCUCUGAUUAUUCUUUGAGAUCAAGCAAAUACAUAUUCAAUACAGGGAUUUGUAACACACACAGAAAAGAGGAGUUCAGGCCUCAUUUCUUCAUACCACCCAUAGGGUUCAAGGCCAUAGUUUUAAAGUUGGGGGUCUAUACUGCAGGUGACAAACUUCAGGCAACAUACAGAAAUGCACACUGUAUGUUAUUCUUCGGAGCAAAUCAGAUUCUUCCUUUGAACUUGUCAACACUCAAGAUGGCAGUUAUUUGAUUAUAAAUGUCAAACAUCUGAGAAAGGUGCCAUCUCAACCAAAAUGUGAUGAUUAGCAGUCUCUGGUAACUCAGAUUUGCCUACUCCUGUGAUGCAGGACACUGAGAAGCUCCCUGAGAACAGUGACAGCAGAACAGAUGAUGAAACAUUCUUGAUGUAGAACUUACUCCAGAGAAGACUAUGAGAAGUGGAUAAGUAAGUAGUUAAAAAGACCCUCCAGAUUUAAAGAUAUGAUUAUGUAGGUUUUGGCAGCAUCUUAGGAAAAAGUGUUAUCUUUCAAAAAUGUUUUUAAAGCUGGACACUGUUUAGUGUUUAUGUUUGUUUAACAAAGGAAGGGAUGCCAUGUAGCUGCUUACAGAGUUUCCUGCAAUACUACAGAUCCCAGCAGUCUGUGCAGCAGAGACAGGAAGUGGCAGCCAAAAUAGGAAGUAGGAGUGCAAACAGAGGCUCAGAGACAGAGACUUGUAGGAAACUUAGUAAAUAUGUUAAAUGGCAUUGUUAUUAAAGACUAUA
Long non-coding RNA from Hemicordylus capensis (graceful crag lizard), 1669 nucleotides. RefSeq lists it as uncharacterized. The record is from RefSeq and is a predicted model, not a curated record. NCBI's taxonomy places the organism in Eukaryota, Metazoa, Chordata, Lepidosauria, Squamata, Cordylidae. The transcript has 3 exons.